UACCUUACACAUGCAAGUCGAGCGGCAGCGCGGGGGCAACCCUGGCGGCGAGCGGCGAACGGGUGAGUAAUGCAUCGGAACGUGUCCUCUUGUGGGGGAUAACCAGUCGAAAGACUGGCUAAUACCGCAUGAGAUCGAGAGAUGAAAGCAGGGGACCGCAAGGCCUUGCGCGAGAGGAGCGGCCGAUGCCGGAUUAGCUAGUUGGUGGGGUAAAAGCCUACCAAGGCGACGAUCCGUAGCUGGUUUGAGAGAACGACCAGCCACACUGGGACUGAGACACGGCCCAGACUCCUACGGGAGGCAGCAGUGGGGAAUUUUGGACAAUGGGGGCAACCCUGAUCCAGCCAUGCCGCGUGUGUGAAGAA
Molecule: ribosomal RNA, 365 nt
Filed under: uncultured soil bacterium
Lineage: Bacteria
Description: bacterial SSU rRNA
Rfam family: Bacterial small subunit ribosomal RNA
Source: RNAcentral